CAAUAGCGUAUAUUUAAGUUGUUGCAGUUAAAAAGCUCGUAGUCGGAUUUUGGCUGAGAACGAUCGGUCCGCCGUUAGGUGUGCACUGAUUGGUCUCAGCUUCCUGGUGAGGAGGUGUGCUUCACGGCCACUUAGUCACCGUGGUUACUUUGAAAAAAUUAGAGUGUUCAAAGCGGGCUUACGCUUGAAUAUAUUAGCAUGGAAUAACACCAUAGGACUCCUGUCCUAUUUCGUUGGUCUCGGGACGGGAGUAAUGAUUAAGAGGAACAGUUGGGGGCAUUCGUAUUUCAUUGUCAGAGGUGAAAUUCUUGGAUUUAUGAAAGACGAACUUCUGCGAAAGCAUUUGCCGAGGAUGUUUUCAUUAA
RNAcentral lists this ribosomal RNA (365 nucleotides) under uncultured eukaryote. RNAcentral describes it as "partial 18S ribosomal RNA". It matches the Rfam family "Eukaryotic small subunit ribosomal RNA", at positions 592 to 976 of the family's 1831-position model. The record is from RNAcentral.